Molecule: ribosomal RNA, 253 nt
Filed under: uncultured bacterium
Lineage: Bacteria
Description: partial 16S ribosomal RNA
Rfam family: Bacterial small subunit ribosomal RNA
Source: RNAcentral
GAUCAUGGCUCAGGAUGAACGCUAGCGACAGGCUUAACACAUGCAAGUCGAGGGGCAGCGGGGAGUAGCAAUACUUCGCCGGCGACCGGCGCACGGGUGAGUAACACGUGUGCAACCAACCCCGUACCGGGAGAUAACCCGCGGAAACGUGGACUAACAUCCCAUAACACUGUAUCAUCGCAUGGUGAUGCAUUUAAAAUUCCGGUGGUACGGGACGGGCACGCGCGACAUUAGGUAGUUGGCGGGGUAACGG